This is a long non-coding RNA of Pongo pygmaeus (Bornean orangutan), 3274 nucleotides long. RefSeq lists it as uncharacterized. The record is from RefSeq and is a predicted model, not a curated record. The transcript has 3 exons. NCBI's taxonomy places the organism in Eukaryota, Metazoa, Chordata, Mammalia, Primates, Hominidae.
ACAGCUCCGUGCCCCGCUCCAGGCCCAGGUUCUUAUCCGCCUGCCCUGGGAAUAUACCCCAGAGCCGGUGGGGCUUUCUGAAAGCCGGUCGCUGCUGCCCGCCACUAGCCCGUCCCUCUAGGCAGGCAUUGUCUGGCGGCCGCGCGCUCCCCAGUCUCCGGUUUCUCCGGCAAAGUGCUCCCCACCCGCUCCUCCUUUUGUACAAUAUUACUGGCAGUAGAGAGCCCCUCAAGAAUUAUUUUUCUCUCUCUUCUGGAUAAUAAGGAGACGGAAGACAUAAUGUUCUACUCUUUCCACCUAACUGUCUUCCUCCCAUCCCCCUUCCACAUCAAUGCAAAUAGACUUACCAGGAAUAAGGUCGGUAUAGAAUCUCCCAGAUAAGGCCACCUGGAACCGGGAAGAUGCAAUCGAGUAUUUCUUUUUGCCUAUUGUAUCAGUGUAUUUCCAUGUCAAGAGGUGUUGGUGUUGCCGCCUUUUAGGCUCUUCCUGAAGAGAUAAGAGAGAGAUGGAGAGAUGGGGAGAAAAAGAUUGGGGGGUGGAGGGAGGGAGGGAGAGAGAGAGAGAGACGGAGAAACGGAGAGAGUUGUACAGAUGGACCCGAUGCAGUGACUGACUGGCACGCAGACACACACUUUUUGUUUGCUGCACAUAAUCUGCCCAAUGACGCGUGACAGCCCACGUCCCCUCCCUUUAACUCUUUGCUGGGCCAGGCGCUCCCUCCGGCGCCGCCUGCCUCGCAGCUUUUUCCCCCGGCCUGCCCGCGCCCCGCAGAUCCUGAGCGCCUACCCCGGGUGGCAACGCCUCUCAGAGAGCGUCCCGGCCCACCUCCUCCUAAAGCUCGGGCCCUCUGGGACUGCUAGGAGGGGAAAAUCGUUUCAGGAUUGGAAAGGAAGGUACCAAAAUGAUUGGAGAGGGCCUUUCCCCGUUUGACUAGGCACUUGGAGAAGCUAUGACAGAGAGCUGGACACCCAGCGCGUGCGGACCCCGAGUGCCAACACUACCAAGCUUCCCCCUGCAAAAUUCAGAAAGGAUGCGCUUUGGUGAGAACUUGGCUCAGCCUUCCGGUGGCUUGGGAGAUGAGGUUGGAGUGAGAAUGUCACCAGACCUCGGAAGGGGACAUAACGGUACCUCCUAGUCCCAGGACACGGGAAACAUUCCUCCCCAAACAACACGGAUUUUUGGACGCCUCCACCUUGAGACAGCUACUUCAGCCAGAACGUGGGACAGGCACUAACAGGAUAUCACCCUUGGGGAUAAACACGCUCCAGUUUCUUGUGGACGGUGGAAGAGGAAAGAACAGGAGAAGCUGCCAGAGGGAUGGGGUGUGGGAAGCUCAUCCUUGCACGUUUAGACUAGGGAAGAAGAGAAUAUUAGGGGAUAGGGGGAGGGGGAGGAUGGGAAGUGUAGUUUUUCCCCUUCCUUCCUUUCAUUUCAGAUCCCAUUAGUGCUUUUAUUUCUUUAAUUUCGAAAACUAUUUCCCUUUCCUGAAUCUGGAUGCGGGCAGGGAGCGAACUCAAGGAAAUGAUGAGCAUGGACAGGAGAUAUGUCCUGGGAACUCAAACUCUCCUGCUUCGCCACUGUCUCUGAGAGAGAUGCCCUGAGCCUUAGCCCAAUGUAAAGAGAGCUGAUUGGGUGUAUGGGCAGUGGCGGGUGGUCUGAAUAAGAAAUAAAAUAAGGGAAAGCCAGAUCUACUCCCAUCCCAAAGCAUUAAAAGACGCACCUCCCCACCCCCCAGCUGUCUUGUGUCCGGCAGAAUGGCAUUAUGUAAAAGAUCUGGCAUGUCACCCAGUGGCACAUCUGGUAGGUGUAGAUGGCAUUCAUUAGCACGGGGCUUCUACUCUGCAGCAUGCCAAAGCUCUGACAGAGAUGCCCGCUGCCAAUCAUUCAUUGGCUGCCAAUCCCCAAGCGCGGCCGGGCGGGAUGGCUUCCUUCCACCCUGGCACCAGGAGUGCAGGAAACAAUGUGUUGAGAUAGAAGAGAUGAAAGUGGAGCUGAGGAUGCGAGGCACCCAACAGAUGUAUCCCGUGAGGAGAUAACAGUGCUAAGAGUCAUUUAGCAAGAAAGCAUAUGCAGGAUCUCAGGAGGGAGGCUUGGGCAGGGGGUCUGCUUGCCUAGGGCUAAGCUGAAGGAAAAGCAGGGGAGCCCUUUCAGAAACCUGAAAGUUGAGGUUGCUUCUCUAAAAACACACAAAGACCAAAACCUCAACCCCCUAAGUGUAGGAUUUCCCCUUCUCUUUGGUUUGUCACUUGUAUCUCUUUUUAUCUAGAAAACUAACUACCUCUCUAAAGGUCAACCUUUGUCAUGUUUUUUUCUGAGGACCAAGAUGAAGAGCACCUUCCUGUUUUAAAUUUUGCAUAAUUCUCAUAGACUAGUAAUUUGGGGGCUAAGGGGAGGAAGACUGUCAGGAUAUCUUCAGUGCAUCGUAAAAGGCAAAGGUCUUAUUUCCAUUCUUAGAUUUUCAGAGGGGAUAAAGAUGAACAAAGGAAAGUAAGGAAAUUAUUAAAAUGGCAAACGAAGAUUAAACACAAAAUCCAGGAUAGAGGUUGCCUUUGAGGUUGUUCUUUUUCUUAGGCUGGGUGGCAAUUAACAAAGUGUUCAGUGUAUUGUUUUUCUUUAUGCCAUAUACAUAUUUUACAUUCUUUUUAUCCAUUCACAAUUUAAUAAAGCAACAACAAAACUCAGGGCUUUGACAGUUUAUGGAACUUGGUGUUUAAGUUGACUCUAACUUAAGCUCUUCAGUUUAUAUAUAUAUGUUUGUGUGUAUUAUCUAUACAGUUAUACUCUUUUUAGUAUAUGUUAUAAAAUAUUUGGGACAUAUACUACAAAUUUAUUCAUAUUUUAUCUAAAACUGAAACUUUAGUUGGCCAUUACAUAUAUUUAUUUGCUAAAUCUAGCAACCUUGGGUAUGCUGGCUCGUGGUCACAAUAUAGCUGCUGUAAUUCCAAGCAUCAAACCAUCGUUUUAAACAUGAAGAAAGGAACGGGGCAAACAACUGUGGUUGUUUGCUUAAUCAGUGAAAGGAAUACUUUCACUUUCAUUAGGCAGACCUGGAUCACCUGACCACAUGUACAUGCAAAAGAGUCUGGGAAAAUUAGCCUUUAAAGUAUAAAAAGAUAGGGAUAAGGGACUGGGGAUGGUUGUUGGGUUGCAAUCAAAGGUGUCUGACAAAGAAACUGAAGAUCAAAGAAGAGUUCCUGUUAACAUUAAACAAGAGUAUAGCUUAUCAAGUUUUUUCAUUGUUUUAAAUAAAAGUUUUCUGUUUUCAUUAUAGUGA